UGCAGUCGACGGAACGAUGGGAGCUUGCUCCCAGGCGUCGAGUGGCGGACGGGUGAGUAAUACUUAGGAAUCUGCCCAUUAGUGGGGGACAACUAGAAGAAAUUCUAGCUAAUACCGCAUACGCCCUACGGGGGAAAGCGGGGGAUCUUCGGACCUCGCGCUAAUGGAUGAGCCUAAGUCGGAUUAGCUUGUUGGUGAGGUAAUGGCUCACCAAGGCGACGAUCCGUAGCUGGUCUGAGAGGACGAUCAGCCACACUGGGACUGAGACACGGCCCAGACUCCUACGGGAGGCAGCAGUGGGGAAUAUUGGACAAUGGGCGCAAGCCUGAUCCAGCAAUGCCGCGUGUGUGAAGAAGGCCUGCGGGUUGUAAAGCACUUUCAGUAGAGAAGAAAAGCUUACGGUUAAUAACCGUGAGUCUUGACGUAACCUACAGAAGAAGCACCGGCUAACUCCGUG
RNAcentral lists this ribosomal RNA (457 nucleotides) under uncultured bacterium. Its description in RNAcentral is "bacterial SSU rRNA". It matches the Rfam family "Bacterial small subunit ribosomal RNA", at positions 56 to 507 of the family's 1533-position model. The record is from RNAcentral.